ACCCUAUUUAAAUAGUCUUAAAACACUAAAAUUAAUAUUUUUCACUAUACAUUGCUCACUAGGCUAUUUUUGAUAAACUGUUACGACCCGGAUUACCCACCCUCGGGAGUCGUGAUGGCGCCUACUAGUGAGAGCUAGACAAACUAAUCUUUAACUACUUACCUUAUUACCAAAUUACUUCUUUUAGCAAUUAAAAAUGUGAUAACAUGAAAAUUGAGGAACUUUAGAUAAUUAAGCAAAAAAUAACAAUUAAACACCUAAAAUCUGCGAAUGUUAUAGUUACUUAAGUCUUAAUCACUCAAACCCGGUGUAACAGUGUCACAGACUGUCUAAGAUUUACUCUGUACAAGGUAUGAAGAAAUAAUAGUACAAUGAUUCUGAAUAAGGAAAAUGAAACAGGAAAUAGAGAUAGAAGGAGACGUCAGGGCCUGCAGACGCCUGCAGGUCUACCUUGGAUCUCCGGGUGGAUUGAAGGAAGCCCUCCAACUAAUAUUGUUGUUCGAUACCUGUAUUUGUGCAAAAGAGCACAUAAUAUAGUAUCAACACAAUCCAUCCCAUGUGCUGGUAAUAUCUCCGAGAAUUGGGCCACAUUGAAAGUAAUCUCUCCAAGAAUUCGGCCACAUUGAGAGUAGUCUCUCCAAGUAUCGGCCCAUGAAAGUAAUCUCUCCUAUAUGUCAGGCAAGGAUGAGUACUCAUCCCUUCACACCCCAAGAUUGACCUACAAAAAAUGACAAAAGAAGAAAAGCACAAGAAAAGAGGAAGAAAUUUGCGUCAAUGCUUCCAAGUCAUCAAAAAUGGAUGCAAAGUGGCUUGCAA
This 816-nucleotide long non-coding RNA is filed under the name Nicotiana benthamiana. RNAcentral describes it as "long non-coding RNA (NBEN_LNC015537)". The record is from RNAcentral. Lineage: Eukaryota; Viridiplantae; Streptophyta; Magnoliopsida; Solanales; Solanaceae.